This 492-nucleotide ribosomal RNA is filed under the name uncultured bacterium. Its description in RNAcentral is "partial 16S ribosomal RNA". It matches the Rfam family "Bacterial small subunit ribosomal RNA", at positions 28 to 507 of the family's 1533-position model. The record is from RNAcentral.
GAUGAACGCUAGCUACAGGCUUAACACAUGCAAGUCGAGGGGAAACGGCAUUGAGUGCUUGCACUCUUUGGACGUCGACCGGCGCACGGGUGAGUAACGCGUAUCCAACCUUCCCAUUACUGUGGGAUAACCUGCCGAAAGGCAGACUAAUACCGCAUAGUCUUCGAUGACGGCAUCAGAUUUGAAGUAAAGAUUUAUCGGUAAUGGAUGGGGAUGCGUCUGAUUAGCUUGUUGGCGGGGUAACGGCCCACCAAGGCGACGAUCAGUAGGGGUUCUGAGAGGAAGGUCCCCCACAUUGGAACUGAGACACGGUCCAAACUCCUACGGGAGGCAGCAGUGAGGAAUAUUGGUCAAUGGACGGAAGUCUGAACCAGCCAAGUAGCGUGCAGGAGGACGGCCCUAUGGGUUGUAAACUGCUUUUGGAUGGGGAUAAAGUUAGGGACGUGUCCCUAUUUGCAGGUACCAUACGAAUAAGGACCGGCUAAUUCCGUG